AAUUAACUGCCACCGGGUAGGAAAUGCAAAAAGCAUUCGUUUGUGCGUCGUUAGGUCUUUGAAGACGCACGCACGGAUGCUUUUUUUGA
This 89-nucleotide non-coding RNA is filed under the name unclassified sequences. The record is from RNAcentral.